CAGUCGCCACGGUAAUACGAAGGGGGCUAGCGUUGUUCGGAAUUACUGGGCGUAAAGGGCGCGUAGGCGGCCAUUCAAGUUAGAUGUGAAAGCCCUGGGCUCAACCUAGGAAUUGCAUUUGAUACUGUUUGGCUUGAGUUCGGGAGAGGUGAGUGGAAUUCCCAGUGUAGAGGUGAAAUUCGUAGAUAUUGGGAAGAACACCAGUGGCGAAGGCGGCUCACUGGACCGACACUGACGCUGAGGCGCGAAAGCGUGGGGAGCAAACAGGAUUAGAUACCCCCGUAGUCCCUGUCUCUUAUAC
This 301-nucleotide ribosomal RNA is filed under the name uncultured bacterium. Its description in RNAcentral is "partial 16S ribosomal RNA". It matches the Rfam family "Bacterial small subunit ribosomal RNA", at positions 509 to 807 of the family's 1533-position model. The record is from RNAcentral.